UACAUAUUGAUGCGGACAGGUGUUUGCCACGCUAUAUUUGGUAGACUUAAUAGGGAAGUCGGUGAAAUUCCGACGCGGUCCCGCCACUGUGAUGAGAGAGUUCCAUUUGGUUUUUGCGCCACUGAUUAGCUGAUCGGGAAGGCACGAAUGGAGCGAUGACCCCGAGCCAGGAGACCUGCCUGACCGUCAGCACUGUG
This 197-nucleotide non-coding RNA is filed under the name Brevibacillus sp. The record is from RNAcentral. Lineage: Bacteria; Bacillati; Bacillota; Bacilli; Caryophanales; Paenibacillaceae.